GUGCUUGAUACAUCAGCACAUAUACUAAAUAUGGAAUGAUAGAGAGAAUAUAACAUGGUCACUGCACAAGGAUGACACGCAAAUUUGUGAAGCGUUCCAUAUGUUU
Rattus norvegicus (Norway rat) is the source of this 106-nucleotide small nuclear RNA. Lineage: Eukaryota; Metazoa; Chordata; Mammalia; Rodentia; Muridae. The record is from Ensembl.